Molecule: long non-coding RNA, 1832 nt
Organism: Gossypium arboreum
Lineage: Eukaryota; Viridiplantae; Streptophyta; Magnoliopsida; Malvales; Malvaceae
Exons: 2
Source: RefSeq, a predicted model, not a curated record
GAGAGAAUGGCAAGGUCUAUUUGUGCUAGAUUGGGAUAUCUACAAGUCUCUAAUCUUGGUGUAUGUCUGGGAGUGCCCCCUAUUUCAUCAGAGGGUCACUAAUGGGAUUUUUGUUUUUGUUGUGGAAAAGGUGAGGUGAAAACUUAAUAAUUGGGAUGCGAAGCUUCUUGCAAUAGCUGAGAAAGUGAAUUUAGCCUGCUUUGUCCUUGUGUCCAUAUACAAAUAUUUUAUGCAAUCUACGAUGAUUUCGAUUGCUAUUUGUGAUGAGAUUAACAGGAAAUUAAAAAAGUUGUUCGAAAUUAUAUCUGGUGCUCUCAUUAUGAAGAUCUUGAGAAUGUGUUGUGGAGUUGCCCUAUUGCUUGUCGGACCUGGUCGAAAGUUAUCCUGUCAAAGUACACUACAAGCUUUUUUUUUCCUUAUCGUUCAUGGACUGGUUGGUGGCAAACAUUCAAAACGUGCGAAAAUAGACUUUUUGGUAUCAUAAUACAGAGGCUCUGGAAAUCAAGGAUGUUAGUCGCGUUCAAUAAGGAGAAUGCCUGCUCUGAGGAAAUCAUUAAAUCAGUUGGUACUGAGCGAAAGGUAUUAAGGAUGCCUCUGAUAUUUUGGAGCGUGUUGGACUAAACUAAAUAUUGAUGGUGAAAAGAAAGGUGCGGCUGGUUGCACAUCUGUAGGGGGUUUAGCCAGGGAUGAACAUGGUGAAUGGUUGUUGGGAUAUUGCAGAAGCACAGGAGAAAGCAGUGGAGUUCAGGCUGAAUUACGGGCCAUUUAUGAUGAUCUUUCUCCUAUGGAACAAGGGUCUUCGACGCAUUGUAAUUGAAUGCGACAGCUCAGAGGCCUUGUAAGUCAUCAAGGAGUCGGAAUUGCAGAGAUCAAAUGUGGCGUUUGCUAGAAGAAUCAACGAGCCGCUGAAUCGAAGCUGGGAGGUGCGACUGUGCCAUGUGUAUCGUGAAGCAAAUGCUGCGGAGGAUUUAGCUGUUCCGACCAUUUUGCAGCAGGAUUUAUCUGGGACCGCCUCCUUAAGAUGUAAUUUCUUUGUUUAGCUCUCUCUUUUGUAACCAAAAAACUGAAUAUUCCUUUCAAGAAUCCAAUACCCAAUGUCUCUUCCUUGUGUUUUUGCUUCUGAAUGGUGGAGUUUCACUGCACGCAAAGUACAUAUCUCAGGUUAAAGGACAAAAACUAUUAUGAGUUUAAAGGAGAGAAUUUGCUUGACAUGGAGCCAGAGGAAAGGUCUCUUGCUGGACUCUUUAUGAGUUUCUAGUCCCCUCUUGAGAUUGCGGGUGUGAACCAUAUCGACUUUUGGCACAUGGUGCGUAAUGCUCGAAGGGAAAAACUUGGUGAGCCGGAGCUCGGUCCACUUGAGGAAGACAGGAGAUAGCUCGUUAGCCAAAGUUCUUGAGGAGAAAGGCUAUACCGCAAUUUCUGCCGCAUAGCAUACAAUACUCUCUGUCAAUAUUAUCUGUUUGAUUCUAGUCAAAACUCACUUUAGCUCCGUUCUUCAGCCUCUAGUCCACAUUGUUUUACUUUGUUAAUUGGAAAGGAAUUGAUGCUCAAAAAUCUCUGAAGUUAAUCGAUCAUGGUUCCACCAUUAAAGGAGCAUAAAGCCUUGGCCCUAAGGUGCUUGGCUGCUAGCAAUGGUGCCUAAAAGGUUAUUGUUUCUUGUUUAACCUCUUGCCUUGGCAUGUAAAUUUGAGGUCCCCUUUUUUUUCUCCCUCUCUGUCUCGAAAUUAAUUGAUUGAUGUGCAAGUAUACACAAUCGUUAAUAAGUAAUAAAGUAGUGAGCGAGAGUUGUCGGUCUCCACUGAAAUUAUUUAUGCAAAUCAAGUAUUGCGAAA